RNAcentral lists this ribosomal RNA (253 nucleotides) under uncultured bacterium. Its description in RNAcentral is "partial 16S ribosomal RNA". It matches the Rfam family "Bacterial small subunit ribosomal RNA", at positions 524 to 776 of the family's 1533-position model. RNAcentral also lists the same sequence under 1 other name. The record is from RNAcentral.
GACGAACCGUACAAACGUUAUUCGGAAUUACUGGGCUUAAAGGGUGCGUAGGCGGCGAAGAAAGUUGGGUGUGAAAUCCCUCGGCUCAACCGAGGAACUGCGCCCAAAACUGCUUUGCUUGAGGGAGACAGAGGUAAGCGGAACUUAGGGUGGAGCGGUGAAAUGCGUUGAUAUCCUAAGGAACACCAGUGGCGAAAGCGGCUUACUGGGUCUCUUCUGACGCUGAUGCACGAAAGCUAGGGUAGCGAACGGG